GACCCCGCAGCGACGUGGCUAGAGUAGGGUCUGGAGAGAGCUCCCACUGUGGCGAGUCCUGUCGUUGGAUUCCCGCGGCGCCCCGUGGGCUCCGCCCCGACGGUGCUACCAAACCCUGUUCGAUUUUAGAAUCGUACAUUCCCAGAGGGAAUCCUAGACCCCUCAUUUUACAGUUGAGGAAACAGGCCCAAGUAGCAUGACUUGUUCGCGCCGCUAGUCGAAGGAGCAGCAGCCCCGAUCCCUUGACUCUGGGGCACUGCUUUCCCUUUAGCUCAUUUUUGGAGGAAAUGGGUCAGCCCUUGCUCGCCCUUUGGUGAUUGCCGCCACAGGACUUCCCGCCGGCUAACUCAGCGUGCCCAAGUCCCGUGACUUAGUGCCAGGACGGUGCUGUGACCCGUUAUCCCCUGUCGGGUUUUACCUCCCCCUGGGAGAGCUCAGCCCUGGAUCCCGGCGUGCGGCGGAGCCUCUCUGGAGCCCGGACGGGACAGCCCACCAGGGUCUGCUUCUGUGAGGGGCCGAGGCGUCAUUCCGCGAAGCCUUUUCCUUGCUGUCGCCAUGUGAAGAAGGAUGUGUUUGCUUCUCCUUCUGCCAUGAUUGUAAGUUUCCUGAAGCCUCUCCAGCCAUGCCAAACUGAAGCUGCUGGAAGGUACACAUCUUGGGAGUUUGCCCUUUGAAGCUCACCUGUGGACCUUUUUUCCUUUCGAAAAGCAGCAUAAGCUGCAAUAAAAAUUUGGUUUCAAGAUAACAAAGUCAGUCCCCAAAAAUCAGUAUUGAGAGUCACUGACAUUAAAUGAUGAAGAUACAAGGAUGGUGUGGGGACCUUUACUCUUCAAAGAUGAGCUAUACAUUCCCCUGAAAAGGCUGUCUGAAGACAGGGGAAGGCUGGAGAUGGCAACUUUGGCCUCUGCCAAGUACUCGUGCUAUUUUCUGUAUGUGA
Molecule: non-coding RNA, 937 nt
Filed under: Pan troglodytes (chimpanzee)
Lineage: Eukaryota; Metazoa; Chordata; Mammalia; Primates; Hominidae
Source: RNAcentral